Molecule: ribozyme, 75 nt
Filed under: Eptatretus burgeri (inshore hagfish)
Lineage: Eukaryota; Metazoa; Chordata; Myxini; Myxiniformes; Myxinidae
Description: Mammalian CPEB3 ribozyme (ENSEBUG00000000079.1)
Rfam family: Mammalian CPEB3 ribozyme
About the family: The mammalian CPEB3 ribozyme is a self cleaving RNA located in the second intron of the CPEB3 gene which belongs to a family of genes regulating messenger RNA polyadenylation. This ribozyme is highly conserved and found only in mammals.
Source: Rfam by way of RNAcentral
AGGGCAGAGGUGGGAGCCAUAGCAGGAGCAUUCUCAUCGUGGUCCCUGUCAGAUGUUUCAUCUGUGAAUCCUGCU